Molecule: ribosomal RNA, 253 nt
Filed under: uncultured bacterium
Lineage: Bacteria
Description: partial 16S ribosomal RNA
Rfam family: Bacterial small subunit ribosomal RNA
Source: RNAcentral
UACGGGGGGGGCAAGCGUUGUUCGGAAUUACUGGGCGUAAAGGGCUCGUAGGCGGCCAACUAAGUCAGACGUGAAAUCCCUCGGCUUAACCGGGGAACUGCGUCUGAUACUGGAUGGCUUGAAUCCGGGAGAGGGAUGCGGAAUUCCAGGUGUAGCGGUGAAAUGCGUAGAUAUCUGGAGGAACACCGGUGGCGAAGGCGGCAUCCUGGACCGGCAUUGACGCUGAGGCGCGAAAGCCAGGGGAGCAAACGGG